Eurytemora carolleeae is the source of this 128-nucleotide long non-coding RNA. RefSeq lists it as uncharacterized. Lineage: Eukaryota; Metazoa; Arthropoda; Copepoda; Calanoida; Temoridae. The record is from RefSeq and is a predicted model, not a curated record. The transcript has 3 exons.
GACUGCUGGCUGUUAUGGAAAAUUCUAAAGUCGGAACCAGUCUCAACUUUGAAUUUACGGAGAAGAAAGAAGAAAAUCACAAAAUCCAGGAGAACCAGGAGAACCAGGACAACCAGGACAACCAGGAG